GCCCGGGUGGCGAAAUUGGUAGACGCAAGGGACUUAAAAUCCCUCGGCGGCAACUCCAUGCCGGUUCGAGUCCGGCCCUGGGCACCA
This 87-nucleotide transfer RNA is filed under the name Gammaproteobacteria bacterium. Its description in RNAcentral is "tRNA-Leu". It matches the Rfam family "tRNA". From Rfam's summary of the family: Transfer RNA (tRNA) molecules are approximately 80 nucleotides in length. Their secondary structure includes four short double-helical elements and three loops (D, anti-codon, and T loops). The record is from RNAcentral. Lineage: Bacteria; Pseudomonadati; Pseudomonadota; Gammaproteobacteria.